This 301-nucleotide ribosomal RNA is filed under the name uncultured bacterium. Its description in RNAcentral is "partial 16S ribosomal RNA". It matches the Rfam family "Bacterial small subunit ribosomal RNA", at positions 509 to 807 of the family's 1533-position model. The record is from RNAcentral.
CAGCCGCCACGGUAAUACAGAGGGUGCGAGCGUUAAUCGGAUUUACUGGGCGUAAAGCGUGCGUAGGCGGCUUCUUAAGUCGGAUGUGAAAUCCCUGAGCUUAACUUAGGAAUUGCAUUCGAUACUGGGAAGCUAGAGUAUGGGAGAGGAUGGUAGAAUUCCAGGUGUAGCGGUGAAAUGCGUAGAGAUCUGGAGGAAUACCGAUGGCGAAGGCAGCCAUCUGGCCUAAUACUGACGCUGAGGUACGAAAGCAUGGGAAGCAAACAGGAUUAGAUACCCGCGUAGUCCCUGUCUCUUAUAC